Pelobates cultripes (western spadefoot toad) is the source of this 950-nucleotide non-coding RNA. Lineage: Eukaryota; Metazoa; Chordata; Amphibia; Anura; Pelobatidae. The record is from the annotation of a GenBank genome assembly.
CUGACUGUGAUUCUGUUUAGGAAAUUAUACUGUAUAUAUUCCUCUAUGAUGUUUUCAUCCCUCAACAGAGGAAGGCUGACAAUUUUUGGACCCGUUGCAAGUACAAAGGAAUGGACUGUUUUUGCACACAAACUUCCUAGAUGAUCCCUACGCAUUUUAAGCUAUCAAUAUAUUAAUUUCACAGACGCAAGCGGUCGGAGGUGUGAGGAGCAAAAUACAGAUUAUGGAACAGCAUACACACAACCAAAAAACAGUUUGACAUUUUACAAGGCUACUUAAAGGGACACUAUAGGCACCCUGCGAAACUCCCACUCUGGAAACGGUCUCACAGAGUUGUUGACAGCUGAUGGGCCUUACGUCCUUCCUGGUUCUCAGUCCAGUAGAACACAAUGUCGGAACACUUCUGGAGACCUUCGCUGUCACAGGUGAGGUGAGUAGUUGAGCUUUCCAACAGGAUUCAACCUGUCUCCAAAAUACUGCACAUAGAACAUCGAAAGCGGCACAAAAAUUAGAUUCCAAGUAUGGGCUCAAGCGCUCAGUCAGAGUGGCAGCCAUCUUCAGGUCUCGGCUUGUCAGGGUGAGUAGAGGCUAUUCAGCAUUAUAUGUUCCAGUAGCUUUUCCAUAGUUGGGACCGGAAUAACCCCCACUGGUCUGAGGGGGGGGAAUGGGGCUGUAAAUGUGAGGUUCACAAACACCAAUAGUUCCAGGUUGAGAGAUUGUCUGCUUCUCCCUUCCACAGAACCCAUAGAGCGGAUAGGCUUUAGGACAGUUCUUAGUUACAGGCUAUGAGGUGGCACUGCAGACUUGCUCGGGUGUGCUCCCUGAUGUUCAGGAACAGGUAGGUGAUCGGUGAGCAAGCUCCAAAAGUGUAAUCCCCUCUGUAGGUCAGAUUUUACAGGCUGCAUGUGGGGAGCGCAUUUCAUGCACUGUCUGCCAUGCAGGGCAGGCCC